CAUGUCCAGUGCUGACUUUUCUCAGCCUCUGAAGUGAACAGAGCUACAGCCUCCCUUGCAACCUCGUGGGCAGUUGUGUUUCAGAUUUCAGAAGAUUUGCAGGUUCCUCGGAAGGCGAUGCGGACCAGACUAGGAAGAUAGCCUCAGAGUAGGGUGCAAACUCAUGGCUGCCUAGAGCAACUUGACUCUGAUACAAGGAAGAACCAGCCUGAGGUAGAAAAAAUGAGAUGCUGGCAAGCAGAGAAGCAAAGACGAGCAUAGAUAAAUCAGGCUCCAGCGCAGAACCACACACGCCUCAGCUCACCUCUGCCUUCGCCCAGCCCUGCCCACUCAGAUCUUUCUCCUUAUUUCCCAACCAUGCCACAGAGAGUGAACUCCAGGCUUGAUGAACAGCUCAGGGGCAGGGCACACGCGCAUCAAUGUAAGACUGGAUUCAGGUUCCAUCCUUAGCUCUGGGGGAAACGUGGACAAAUUCUAUGGCUGAGUAAAUUAAGCCUGUAAGGUCAAAGUGCAUGCUCUUGCUAUCGGCUUGAAGGGCAUCCAGCUUGUCCUGUGAAUUUGCUUUUCCAGAACUGCACAACCAAUGAGAGGCUCCUAAAAUUUAACCAGUUGGUUUGAGCUAUCUUUUGUUAAAUUGCUUUUGUCUAUAUGAAACCAUUGACCUUUUU
RNAcentral lists this long non-coding RNA (668 nucleotides) under Mus pahari (shrew mouse). RNAcentral's name for it is "lncRNA (MGP_PahariEiJ_G0005384.1)". The record is from RNAcentral. Lineage: Eukaryota; Metazoa; Chordata; Mammalia; Rodentia; Muridae.